Molecule: long non-coding RNA, 788 nt
Filed under: Populus trichocarpa (black cottonwood)
Lineage: Eukaryota; Viridiplantae; Streptophyta; Magnoliopsida; Malpighiales; Salicaceae
Description: long non-coding RNA (PTRI_LNC000560)
Source: RNAcentral
AUGGCUCGAGAGUUGAUGCUCGUUGACCCAGUUGGCUAACGUACUGAAUACAGAAUCACUCUCUCAAGGAAUUCUUUCGGACUUGAUUACGGCACUGCUUGACUUGGGAUACAAUUAAAUAAGACGUGUACAAACUACAAACAGAAGGCACUCUGUCUCCAUGAGCGUGCGUCGUCGUCUCUGAUGCGACCGCCAUUAUACAAGCUACAGACAAAGUCAGAACUAAUGGUCAAAACCACCAAGCCGAGCAGAGGGAAAGGGAAAUGGCACGCACUAGCAGGUGUUUUAUGUCUCGGAACGACACAAACCAGUGUGUAUCAUGAAUCCUCUGUAUAAAGUAAUCAUUCAUCAUAUUAUAUUAUCGGGAUGCUCAAUGAUACAUCGGCAGCUGGUUGUAUGUGCCAAUGAAUGCCAUGCGUACGUGAAGGAAAUCAAAAUGGAUCACCAAUCCAUCUAGCAAACUUGGGAGCAAAUUAAGCAGCAAGAUAUGUUUGCUAUCUGGAAUAAUCCGCCUCCAAAAAUUACAUCGAAGUUCUUGGAUCUUAGAAGAUUGUAUGGCCUAGAGACUUGUAGUUUCCAGGGAACAUAGUUAUCUUGUGUGAGUUGAGAUGCAUGGACAACCAGGGGCUUCUGUUUUCUAGACAAUAUUAAGCAUAAUAGACUUGCAGGAAAUUAGUGGCCAAGCUUGAGUGCUUGAACUAGUGGUUUUGAUCAUGGGGUUUCCUUCUCUUCAAAAGAAUACAAUCUUGUGGCCAUUUAAUCUCAGAUAUUUUCUUUCUUUUGCCUGC